UGAGGAAUAUUGGGCAAUGCCCGCAAGGGUGACCCAGCAACGCCGCGUGAAUGAUGAAGGUCGUAAGAUCGUAAAAUUCUUUUAGCGGGGACGAAAAACAGUAAUUCGUAAGGGUUAUUGCUUGACUGUACCCGCAGAAAAAGCCCCGGCUAACUACGUGCCAGCAGCCGCGGUAAUACGUAGGGGGCAAGCGUUGUCCGGAUUUACUGGGUGUAAAGGGCGCGUAGGCGGACUUGUAAGUCAGAGGUGAAAUCCUGCAGCUUAACUGCAGAACUGCCUUUGAUACUGCAAGCCUUGAGUUCGAAAGAGAGAGAUGGAAUUCCAGGUGUAGUAGUGAAAUACGUAGAUAUCUGGAAGAACACCAGUGGCGAAGGCGAUCUCUUGGUUCGUAACUGACGCUGAGGCGCGAAAGCGUGGGUAGCAAACAGG
This 429-nucleotide ribosomal RNA is filed under the name uncultured bacterium. RNAcentral's name for it is "bacterial SSU rRNA". It matches the Rfam family "Bacterial small subunit ribosomal RNA", at positions 355 to 776 of the family's 1533-position model. The record is from RNAcentral.